ACUCGCCUACAUGAAGCUGGAGUUACUAGUAAUCGCAGAUCAGAAUGCUGCGGUGAAUGCGUUCCCGGGUCUUGUACACACCGCCCGUCACACCACGGAAGUUGGGGGGCGCCCGAAGCCACUUAGCUAACCCUUUUGGGAAGCGAGUGUCGAAGGUGAAAUCAAUAACUGGGGUGAAGUCGUAACAAGGUAGC
RNAcentral lists this ribosomal RNA (194 nucleotides) under uncultured bacterium. RNAcentral's name for it is "partial 16S ribosomal RNA". It matches the Rfam family "Bacterial small subunit ribosomal RNA", at positions 1310 to 1500 of the family's 1533-position model. The record is from RNAcentral.